UAUGUGCCCUUGUGAAUUAUUGUGUGUUCCUUUUGAUUAACCUUGUGUCCUACAGGAGCCACCGUACAUGCCUACUCUAAACAGUUAUGUUAGCUCACGAAUGUGAGGAGUUGUUGCUCAUACACCCGAGCAGAUUUUAAAGAAUUUCUCUUGUCUCAUUCGUUCUACACAACAGUAUUCUCUCUUGAAAUCAGAGUUCCUCGAGUUUCCCAGCCCUAGCCUGCCUAAGCUAAGUUAUAUUCCUGUGAUGGAAAUCAACACAGGUGCCUCCUUGCUUUGCUGUUCAUUGCUAUCCUUAUCAACAAGUUGAUAGGACCGUCUUUCUCCACCCUCUUCGAGCACGACACUAGUCGUCUAUGAGCACGACACUGGUCGGAGCGACACCGACAAGCAUAUGCUGCCCCCCUCUCCUCCUGAGACUGAAGGCUCUAUUCCCGUUCCAUACCGACUAGCUCGUGUCAGCUCCAGCAGAAAGCAGCAGGUUCAGGAAGAGCCUGAAGCCUUCCAGAGCCUGGUGAGGUGUCUUUCCAGUUCCAGAGCCUGGUGAGGUGUCUUUCCAGUUCCAGAGCCUGGUGAGGUGUCUUUCCAGUUCCAGAGCCUGGUGAGGUGCCUUUCCAGGGUGGAGAAGACCCUUUACUGCAACAUUGGUGCCCCGGCUCAUCAAGAUUCCUUGGCAUGAGCAGAACAACCAGGAACCAGCAGUAAGGUUCUGAUAUCUUCUGGUUUAUGUUCAUGAUUUCUUAGUAUUGACGCAACUUCAUGAAUAAUCUGUUUUCUUGUUGGCUACAACCAUGGUUCUUCCCAGGCUACGGGUGGUGUCUGGUUGGAGUCUUCCCAGGGUGUAUUUGUCUGGGUACCAUCAGUAUGGUCACUACAUGGCUACUAGGUACGGUUGUUACAUCUUUCUGAUGUGUUGCAGCUUUAACACUUAUUGUUCUAUUCCUGGCUAGCAGCUCUGUAUUAACCUGGAUCCUGAUAUCAUUUGGCUAUGAUGCUCUA
Long non-coding RNA from Salvelinus namaycush (lake trout), 999 nucleotides. RefSeq lists it as uncharacterized. Lineage: Eukaryota; Metazoa; Chordata; Actinopteri; Salmoniformes; Salmonidae. The record is from RefSeq and is a predicted model, not a curated record. The transcript is spliced from 3 exons.